Molecule: non-coding RNA, 847 nt
Organism: Sesamum indicum (sesame)
Lineage: Eukaryota; Viridiplantae; Streptophyta; Magnoliopsida; Lamiales; Pedaliaceae
Source: RefSeq, a predicted model, not a curated record
CUAUCAAAAUAGAUUUACUGAAAGUGGUGUUACACAAAACCUUACAAAUGAUUUUAAAAGCAUUUUCACUUAGGCAUGACCAAGAUGACGCACAGUGUCAAAAGUAUUUAAAGAUUUGCCAUGGGAGAACUUCAAGUUGAGGUACUGAUGGGAUAAUCUAACUGACGAAAGAACGAGGAACACAUAGGCAAAAAAUGGAAGAAUACCUGGCAAAAAUGGGUUGUACUGAUGUUUCUUCCCUCAAUCUUCAUUCGAUCUCUCAACUUGGUAUGAUAUAACUAGAGGUCCUUGUGAAGGACGCUUAUAUGGAUCCGGGAGUAACUUGUCAUCUACAAGUGCAAGUUCAAUCAAUUCUACUAUUAGAGAAUUUGAGGAGAAGCUUAAUGAGUUAAUAAACGCAGUGGAGGAUAUGCGCUCUAAUGCUACAAAGAUGGAAGAAGAAUUUUCAAGACGAGAAGAAGAAAAUAGAAAAUUGUUUGAAACUGCUCUUGAAGAAGCUUGAAAGAGGGAGGAAGAUGUUCGAAAGAGGGAGACAGACCUACAAGAAUUGGUUCGUAAAUUAAGUGAAAAUAUCGGCUACACAAACCAUCAAUUUUUUGGUGGGUCUGGACAGUAGGAGAACAACAUUCUAGGAAAGAUCAUUAGUUUCUUUUAUCUAUUGGUUGUUUAUAACUUAGUUUGUGUUGUUUUAGGUUGUAUUCUGACUUACUUUUGUUAUUGUUUCUGGUUGGUUUUGGGAGUUUAGACAUGAUAUGUUUUGGUUGGUAUGGUACAAUGACUUAAUGUUGGUCGUUGCUAGUUUGGAAGUGCAACCAUUGAUAUUAUUUGGUUGUGUUUGGAUGGUAUA